Molecule: transfer RNA, 73 nt
Filed under: Scleropages formosus (Asian bonytongue)
Lineage: Eukaryota; Metazoa; Chordata; Actinopteri; Osteoglossiformes; Osteoglossidae
Description: tRNA-Thr
Source: RNAcentral
GAUGCCAUAGUGUAGUGGUUAUCAUAUCUGCUAUGUACAUGGAGAAGAUCCUGGGUUCGAGCCCCACUGAUCC